Molecule: ribosomal RNA, 441 nt
Filed under: uncultured bacterium
Lineage: Bacteria
Description: bacterial SSU rRNA
Rfam family: Bacterial small subunit ribosomal RNA
Source: RNAcentral
UACGAAGGCAGCAGUGGGGAAUAUUGCACAAUGGGCGCAAGCCUGAUGCAGCCAUGCCGCGUGUAUGAAGAAGGCCUUCGGGUUGUAAAGUACUUUCAGUCGUGAGGAAGGUGUUAAGGUUAAUAACCUUAGCAAUUGACGUUAGCGACAGAAGAAGCACCGGCUAACUCCGUGCCAGCAGCCGCGGUAAUACGGAGGGUGCGAGCGUUAAUCGGAAUUACUGGGCGUAAAGGGCACGCAGGCGGUUAAUUAAGUUGGAUGUGAAAUCCCCGGGCUUAACCUGGGAAUGGCAUUCAAGACUGGUUAGCUAGAGUCUUGUAGAGGGGGUUAGAAUUCCAUGUGUAGCGGUGAAAUGCGUAGAGAUGUGGAGGAAUACCGGUGGCGAAGGCGGCCCCUGGGACAAAGGACUGACGCUCAUGUGCGAAAGCGUGGGGAGCAAAC